AAUGUUGUUCUGUAAUUGGUUAUCAUGUUAGUCUAAUACAAUGAAUGUCUUCGGUUCGAGUCCGGGCGACGCCA
RNAcentral lists this transfer RNA (74 nucleotides) under Zingiber officinale. Its description in RNAcentral is "tRNA-Ile". Lineage: Eukaryota; Viridiplantae; Streptophyta; Magnoliopsida; Zingiberales; Zingiberaceae. The record is from RNAcentral.